AUUGAUUUAACAUCAACCUUGAGUCCUGCCCUCCUAAGCCCCUGCGAUAAUUUAAUGUGGUCUUGUUUCUAUGUGGUUUGUUUUGAUGGAUGUAGGCAGAACUCAUCCUCUGGUGAUGACAGUGUGAGGAAUGAUGAUCUUCUUCAGGAACUAAUGUUUCAGGAUCACUUAUCAGACCUGGAUAUGCUCCUGAAUCCGGAUUGCAACCCUUGGCCUGCGCAUAUCCGUGAACAUCUAACAGUCAACUCACAACUAAACGAAAGGAAAACAACACAGUAAACCUAGUGAUUUCAUAAACAGGAGCUGGAGGCUCGUAAGCAGCUGUCUGAAACCUCGUCAUCUCUCACACAAACAGUGCAACAGCUGCAGACAGACAAGCGGUACUGGUCUAAAGGGGAGAAGUGCACGCUGCCACAUCUUUUAGAAAGAGCCAGGAGUUUUAGUGUAAAACACUUCUCAGGCUGAGCUGGUAUGUUUGCGAGCGUCCUGUAAACAUUUCUGUUGCUAAACAAAACCCGAAGAAAAUGGAGAAUCAAGCCCCUAAUCAACGCAGAGAGGUCAUUGUUGGCCUCCUGCUCAUCUUCAUUGUGAAGUAUGACCCGAAUGAUGUUAAGAAACAGCCGAGACUUAACACAAUGUGUUCUCUACUGUUCUUAUCAACAUCAUCAUAACAGCAUUGGGAUUUGAGUCUGGAGGAAGCAGCAUCUGAUAUUGCAGUCCCUCUGAAUAAUAUUUAAGGACUGCUUACAUAUAUUUACACAUAAGAAGUUUUAUUAUUUAUACUUUUACCAAACCUCUGAGUUGCUACCAUUGACUGUAAUUGUCAAAAACUUUUUUCUGCCCUCCUUUUGAUCCGUACAGAUAUCGUCAUGUUUGGUUUUUGAUGUUUUUAUGGAAACCUUCACUUUGAUAAAGCACUCAUAUCUGAGUAAAUGUAUAAUUUGAUGUUCUAACUGAAUUUCCUUAGUUUAAUUUUUUACUGUUUAUUCACUUUAUUGACCGCAAACAAUAAUUAUAAUUAUUUUUAAUUAUAUUUUAUAUGUAAAUAUAGUUAAUAUAUAAACAUAG
This is a long non-coding RNA of Cyprinus carpio carpio, 1068 nucleotides long. NCBI's taxonomy places the organism in Eukaryota, Metazoa, Chordata, Actinopteri, Cypriniformes, Cyprinidae. The record is from Ensembl.